Molecule: transfer RNA, 77 nt
Filed under: Pseudomonadota bacterium
Lineage: Bacteria; Pseudomonadati; Pseudomonadota
Also listed under: 2 other names
Description: Proteobacteria bacterium (freshwater metagenome) tRNA-Asp
Rfam family: tRNA
About the family: Transfer RNA (tRNA) molecules are approximately 80 nucleotides in length. Their secondary structure includes four short double-helical elements and three loops (D, anti-codon, and T loops). Further hydrogen bonds mediate the characteristic L-shaped molecular structure. tRNAs have two regions of fundamental functional importance: the anti-codon, which is responsible for specific mRNA codon recognition, and the 3' end, to which the tRNAs corresponding amino acid is attached (by aminoacyl-tRNA synthetases). tRNAs cope with the degeneracy of the genetic code in two manners: having more than one tRNA (with a specific anti-codon) for a particular amino acid; and 'wobble' base-pairing, i.e. permitting non-standard base-pairing at the 3rd anti-codon position.
Source: RNAcentral
GGGGGUGUAGCUCAGUUGGUUAGAGCGCAUGCCUGUCACGCAUGAGGCCGCGGGUUCAAGUCCCGUCACUCCCGCCA